AGCGAACGCUGGCGGCGUGCUUAACACAUGCAAGUCGAGUGCGCGGUUCGUAGCAAUACGAACUGGCGCACGGCGCACGGGUGAGGAACACGUGGGCAACAUGCCCUCCGAUGGGGAAUAACCCGCCGAAAGGCGGGCUAAUACCGCAUACGAUUCCGGGGACCUCGGUUCCUGGACUGAAAGCCCGCAAGGGCGUCGGUGGAGUGGCCCGCGGCCGAUUAGCUUGUUGGCGGGGUAACGCCCACAAGGCAAUGAUCGGUAGCCGGUCUGAGAGAUGAUCGGCCACACUGGAACUGAGACACGGUCCAGACUCCUACGGGAGGCAGCAGUGGGGAAUUGUUCGCAAUGGGCGCAAGCCUGACGACGCAACGCCGCGUGGAGGAUGAAGGUCUUCGGAUUGUAAACUCCUGUUGCCCGGACGAAUANCUCCGACCUAACACGUCGAGUCUGACGGUAC
Molecule: ribosomal RNA, 457 nt
Filed under: uncultured bacterium
Lineage: Bacteria
Description: bacterial SSU rRNA
Rfam family: Bacterial small subunit ribosomal RNA
Source: RNAcentral